UAACCGAUGUCUCUUCUCGCAUACAGGCAUUAAACACAGCAUAGGAGGUUUUAUGUCUUGCGGCAUCUUCAGGGAUGCCGAAAGACUUAUUCAACAUUUGAAUCAUCUUCUUAGAUUGUGUAUCCUCGAACUUACAGCUAGUUCAUUAUUCGUGACUACCCUCAUGAUGCAACAUACAAUCAUACAGUCAUUGAGCCACUUCAAAUAAGUGUCUCUCAUCACACGUGGUGUGUACGUAGCAGGUUCUUUGGGUGCAGGAUCCAUAAACACAUAUAAGAUCCCUUCGUGCUCCAAGAUAAUUUUUAGCUUUCGAUACCAGCUAUCAAAAUUUGAUCUGCUAAGCUUGUCGCUAUCCAACAA
RNAcentral lists this long non-coding RNA (360 nucleotides) under Elaeis guineensis (African oil palm). Its description in RNAcentral is "long non-coding RNA (EGUI_LNC040489)". Lineage: Eukaryota; Viridiplantae; Streptophyta; Magnoliopsida; Arecales; Arecaceae. The record is from RNAcentral.